AACCAGCACCUCAAGUGGUCAGGAUGAUUAUUGGGCCUAAAGCAUCCGUAGCCUGUUCUGUAAGUUUUCGGUUAAAUCUAUGCGCUCAACGUAUAGGCUGCCGAAAAUACUGCAGAACUAGGGAGUGGGAGAGGUAGACGGUACUCGGUAGGAAGGGGUAAAAUCCUUUGAUCUAUUGAUGACCACCUGUGGCGAAGGCGGUCUACCAGAACACGUUCGACGGUGAGGGAUGAAAGCUGGGGGAGCAAACGGG
RNAcentral lists this ribosomal RNA (253 nucleotides) under uncultured archaeon. RNAcentral describes it as "partial 16S ribosomal RNA". It matches the Rfam family "Archaeal small subunit ribosomal RNA", at positions 474 to 727 of the family's 1478-position model. The record is from RNAcentral.